ACGGGAGGCAGCAGUGGGGAAUAUUGCACAAUGGGGGAAACCCUGAUGCAGCAACGCCGCGUGAGUGAUGAAGUAUUUCGGUAUGUAAAGCUCUAUCAGCAGGGAAGAAAUUGACGGUACCUGACUAAGAAGCCCCGGCUAACUACGUGCCAGCAGCCGCGGUAAUACGUAGGGGGCAAGCGUUAUCCGGAUUUACUGGGUGUAAAGGGAGCGUAGACGGCAAGGCAAGUCAGAAGUGAAAUGCGGGGGCUUAACCCCUGAACUGCUUUUGAAACUGUUUAGCUAGAGUAUCGGAGAGGUAAGUGGAAUUCCUAGUGUAGCGGUGAAAUGCGUAGAUAUUAGGAGGAACACCAGAGGCGAAGGCGGCUUACUGGACGAUUACUGACGUUGAGGCUCGAAAGCGUGGGGAGCAAACAGGAUUAGAUACCCUGGUA
This 434-nucleotide ribosomal RNA is filed under the name uncultured Clostridium sp. RNAcentral describes it as "partial 16S ribosomal RNA". It matches the Rfam family "Bacterial small subunit ribosomal RNA", at positions 341 to 792 of the family's 1533-position model. The record is from RNAcentral. Lineage: Bacteria; Bacillati; Bacillota; Clostridia; Eubacteriales; Clostridiaceae. RNAcentral also lists the same sequence under 1 other name.